AACGUAGGACGCAAGCGUUAUCCGGAGUUACUGGGCGUAAAGCGCAUGCAGGCGGCUCGUCAAGUGGGAUGUGAAAGCGCUCAGCUUAACUGGGCGAUGCAUUCCAAACUGAUGGGCUGGAGGGCAGUAGAGGUAGGCGGAAUUCCAGGUGUAGCGGUGAAAUGCGUAGAUAUCUGGAGGAACACCGGUGGCGAAGGCGGCGUUCUGGACUGUCUCUGACACUGAAGAACGAAAGCCAGGGGAGCAAACGGG
Molecule: ribosomal RNA, 252 nt
Filed under: uncultured bacterium
Lineage: Bacteria
Description: partial 16S ribosomal RNA
Rfam family: Bacterial small subunit ribosomal RNA
Source: RNAcentral